UACGGGGGGAGCAAGCGUUGUUCGGAUUUACUGGGCGUAAAGGGCGCGUAGGCGGCCACCGCAAGUCAAUUGUGAAAUCUCCGGGCUUAACUCGGAAAGGUCAACUGAUACUGCGGGGCUAGAGUGCGGAAGGGGCAACUGGAAUUCUCGGUGUAGCGGUGAAAUGCGUAGAUAUCUGGAGGAACACCGGUGGCGAAGGCGGCAUCCUGGACCGGCAUUGACGCUGAGGCGCGAAAGCCAGGGGAGCAAACGGG
RNAcentral lists this ribosomal RNA (254 nucleotides) under uncultured bacterium. RNAcentral's name for it is "partial 16S ribosomal RNA". It matches the Rfam family "Bacterial small subunit ribosomal RNA", at positions 524 to 776 of the family's 1533-position model. The record is from RNAcentral.